GAUGAACGCUGGCGGCGUGCCUAAUACAUGCAAGUCGAGCGAACAGACGAGGAGCUUGCUCCUCUGGCGUUAGCGGCGGACGGGUGAGUAACACGUGGAUAACCUACCUAUAAGACUGGGAUAACUUCGGGAAACCGGAGCUAAUACCGGAUAAUAUAUUGAACCGCAUGGUUCAAUAGUUAAAGACGGUUUUGCUGUCACUUAUAGAUGGAUCCGCGCCGCAUUAGCUAGUUGGUAAGGUAACGGCUUACCAAGGCGACGAUGCGUAGCCGACCUGAGAGGGUGAUCAGCCACACUGGAACUGAGACACGGUCCAGACUCCUACGGGAGGCAGCAGUAGGGAAUCUUCCGCAAAGGGCGAAAGCCUGACGGAGCAACGCCGCGUGAGUGAUGAAGGUCUUCGGAUCGUAAAACUCUGUUAUUAGGGAAGAACAAAUGUGUAAGUAACUAUGCACGUCUUGACGGUACCUAAUCAGAAAGCAACGGCUAACUACGUG
Molecule: ribosomal RNA, 497 nt
Filed under: uncultured bacterium
Lineage: Bacteria
Description: partial 16S ribosomal RNA
Rfam family: Bacterial small subunit ribosomal RNA
Source: RNAcentral